AUUGAACGCUGGCGGAAUGCUUUACACAUGCAAGUCGAACGGUAGAGGGGGCAACCCCUUGAGAGUGGCGAACGGGUGAGUAAUAUAUCGGAACGUGCCCAGUCGUGGGGGAUAACGCAGCGAAAGCUGUGCUAAUACCGCAUACGAUCUACGGAUGAAAGCGGGGGAUCGCAAGACCUCGCGCGAUUGGAGCGGCCGAUAUCAGAUUAGGUAGUUGGUGGGGUAAAAGGCUCACCAAGCCAACGAUCUGUAGCUGGUCUGAGAGGACGACCAGCCACACUGGAACUGAGACACGGUCCAGACUCCUACGGGAGGCAGCAGUGGGGGAAUUUUGGACAAUGGACGCAAGUCUGAUCCAGCCAUUCCGCGUGCAGGAUGAAGGCCCUCGGGUUGUAAACUGCUUUUGUACGGAACGAAAAGGUUUCUAUUAAUACUAGGAGCUCAUGACGGUACCGUAAAGAAUAAAGCACCGGCUAACUACGUG
Molecule: ribosomal RNA, 484 nt
Filed under: uncultured bacterium
Lineage: Bacteria
Description: bacterial SSU rRNA
Rfam family: Bacterial small subunit ribosomal RNA
Source: RNAcentral